Molecule: ribosomal RNA, 478 nt
Filed under: uncultured bacterium
Lineage: Bacteria
Description: bacterial SSU rRNA
Rfam family: Bacterial small subunit ribosomal RNA
Source: RNAcentral
GACGAACGCUGGCGGCGUGCUUCAUACAUGCAAGUCGAACGAGAAGCAGGAGCUUGCUCCUGUGGAAAGUGGCGGACGGGUGAGUAAUAUGUGGGCAACCUGCCUCAUAGAGGGGAAUAGCCUCCCGAAAGGGAGAUUAAUACCGCAUAAGAUUGUAGCUUCGCAUGAAGUAGCAAUUAAAGGAGCAAUCCGCUAUGAGAUGGGCCCGCGGCGCAUUAGCUAGUUGGUGAGGUAACGGCUCACCAAGGCGACGAUGCGUAGCCGACCUGAGAGGGUGAUCGGCCACAUUGGGACUGAGACACGGCCCAGACUCCUACGGGAGGCAGCAGUGGGGAAUAUUGCACAAUGGGGAAACCCUGAUGCAGCAACGCCGCGUGAGUGAUGACGGCCUCGGUUGUAAGCGUCUGUCGUUCUAGGGACGAGUAAUGACGGUAACCGUGAGGAGGAAGGCCACGGCUAACUACGUGCCAGCAGCCGC